Homo sapiens (human) is the source of this 2878-nucleotide long non-coding RNA. NCBI's taxonomy places the organism in Eukaryota, Metazoa, Chordata, Mammalia, Primates, Hominidae. The record is from Ensembl.
AAAGGGAGAGGGUGAGGGAGUUGUGGAGCGACAGCGACAGAGCCUUGGAGAGGGAGGCUCUGCUCAGGAUUUGUCCCCAGUGCCUUAUUUAGUUCACUUGGUGAGGUCAUGUUUUCCUGGAUGGAGUUGAUGCUAGUAGAUGUUCUUCAGUGUCUGGACAUUAAAAUCUUGGGCAUGCAACACCAUAUGAGAGGUUUAAAAAAUAAAAUUUAAAGAGAGAAAAGUGGUGGGAUUGCUGAAUCAGACAGAGCCAAUAGAUGAUCAGUAAUGGUGGCCAAUCAUCAGCUAGAAAGAAAGUGCUUAGCAGGGCUUGAAAACACCAAAACUCUGAGACCACUGACCUUCAAAAACUUCAACAGCCCUGAGUGAAAAGCCCAAACACAUUUAUCUACCAUUCAAAGACGCUUCAUUGUCUGUUCUCUGUGCAUCUCAGUAGUCUCUUUUUACCACACUGUCUAUAUACUGCAUGAGCCAUUUAUAUGAAACUAUCUGACACUCCAAGGCAUCUUAUACUAUAUAUUCAACCAUGUAUCCCUAGUACCUAGCACAGUCCUGGCAUAUAGUUUGCUACUAAACUUUUACAGAAUGAAGGAAUUAUCUUGUAUCCAGGUUCCAAGUUUUAAGGUGAUUCUUCACUAAAAAAAGUAUUACAGUUCACAAAUAAUCUACUUCCCUUUUUACAAAUGGGAUCAAUUUUAAUCUUAUCUCCUAAUAACAUUACUUUCAUUUACUCUGAUCUAAAUAUACUGUCCUAAGAGAGCAAUAAGAAAGAGAGUUGAAGCUGGAGUUUGAAGAAUUGUACAUGGUCCUGUGAUACCCUACCUUGUUUUAACCUGAGUGACUCUCUCCUAGCAGAGAGAGAGCCGGACAGACUCCAUUUUAGUUUCUUCACGUGCAUCCCCCUUUACCUCCCACCCUUAAUUGCAUAACUAGUGUAAACUAACUCAAAGCAGGUCCAGGAAUGCACUUACUGAUAAGAUAUUGAGGCAAGCUGCACCAGCUGCUCCUGGGUACGCACUCGGUGAAUGUCACGCAAAACCCCUGCAUUUCUCUCUUUGUGAUGGUUUAAGCCCCUGCACCUGGAACUGUUUAUUUGUUUUGUAACUGUUAUUGUAACCAAUUAAUUUUUUAACUAUUUGCCAGCUCUGCUUCUGUAAAACUUGUUUCAGCUAAACUCCCCCCUCCCCUAUUUAGACCACGGCAUAAAAACAAAACCAGCCCCUUCCUCGGGGCCAAGAGAAUUUUGAGCAUUACAUGCCUCUUGGUUGCUGGCUAAUAAAGGACUCCUUAAUUUGUCUCAAAGUGUGGCGUUCCUCUAUAACUCGCUUGGUUACAACAGUCCACACUGUGGCCUGAGGUGCAUCGCCCACCUGAGCUUCAUCUGUUAUGUAUGUCAGGGAAUAUAAGCAGGGUGAGAGUGGCCUCAUCAGAGGACCCCAGAUCUCUGGCUUACCCAUCUGGCAAGCGCACCUCUGUGAGCAAAGACUUCAGAGCCAGAUGACAAGAACGGCCCAAGCAGUCCACCAGGGAAACCUGGGCCCAGUGUACAUCAAUGCAGAGCAUCAAGCAUGGCGUAACAGGUGCACAGUUGCCUACUCCUGUUCAGAGAUGACUGCAUCCCACAUACCGUAAAAUGAGGAAAUGCAGAGAAGCAGAAGUAACUGAAGAAGACAGCAGAAGCAACAAGGAGGGACAACCAGGACCUAGGAGGGCACCAUGCCAGAGACGCCUGGACCCCACGCUAGGCUCAGUGCCUGUUAUACUCUUGGGAUCCAGCACUUUCCCUCUCCAUCACAUGGCAUACUUGCCAUUAUUUGUUGUGUAAAAUAUUGUCCUUAGUUUUCACCUUUCCUAGGAGACACAGGCAGAGCCUGUGACACUACAGCUUCUGGCACACAGUAGGUAGGUGCAUCACAAACAUCUGCUGAGUUCACACACUCUUGCCUUCUCAAACCUUCCUGUCAAGUCUUCAGUGAAAAGGAAUUGCUGAUUGAGCAAGAAUUAAACUUCUAGAGACUCCUGGAUCCACUGAAGUUUGAGACAAGCUCUAGUCAGGAAGUGUUAGAGAGUUCUAAACAGGAAAUGUUCCAACACACCAUCUAAGCAUGAAGCAGGAGACACCCAUAAUUGAGUUUGCUGCCACCAACCCCAACAGCAAGAAUUCCAGUCCUGCUGCUGCAAAUUCUCUUUUGGAGUCUUUCUUGCAGUUGCGGUUGCUUGGCUGCUGCUGAAGUCACCUGAAAGCUCAAUUAGGCUAAAGAGUCUAGACGGGUCACUUACAUGGUUGGCAGUGCAUAUUGGCUGCUGAGUGUGAUGCCUAUCUGACCUCUCCAUGUUACCUGGAGUGCUCAUAACGUGGUAGUUUGUCCCAAGACACACAGGCAAAUACUAUAAAGCUUCUUAGGACCUAGCCUUGGAGGUCCUAGAACAAGACUUCUGCUCCAUCCUUUUGGAAAAGCAAGUCAUUGUGACCAGCACAGAUUCAAGAAAUGGGAGAUUCGACUCUGCCUGUCAAUGUAAACAGCAGCAUGUGCAUGCAGGGAGGAAAGAAAUCGAGGGCAUCAUCUAGAAGACUAUCAUAUCACACCAUUAUUCCAACUAAUGAACAUUAUGUUUUAGAUGGGUAGUACUAGCUACUCAUCUCUCCCCCAGAAACCCAAGCUAAGCAUGGACAUAUUGAAGAGAAUGUCAGCACCAUUAAAAAAAAACUCUAGAAAAAUCACAUGUGAUGACUGAGGUUAAUUCAGUCUGUCAAUUACAUCAAUAUAAUUGCCUUCUUGUAGCCCUAAGUAUGGUGAAGCAGAAUUGAAUUCUACAAAAGUCUUUCAUCUGUUUUCCUAUGGAAUAAUUAACAAACCCAAUAAAUGUAUAAAUAGCA